CAUGCCACUCUUUUACAUUUCGGGGUGCAUCUAGAGAACGGUCAGAGAGUAUAUUUGACAGCGUCGAAUGCUGCUCAACGUGCCGAAACACCUCCAAGGACAACACUGACCACUUUCUUUUGCGAUUUGUCCAACCGAUCCGUUCGCACGAACUUUGCUUUACUCAGAAAUGCUAUGUUAUUACACUUGGAACGCUACAUCGAAGAAAUUUCAACGUCGGAAGCAAGGCGAUGCAGUUCCUGGUCAUCCAGAUAUGCGUUUUACUGAUGAUGAAAGAAUGAUGAAUGUUUCUAUUUGCGAUUGUUGCUGGUACAUGUUCGAGGGCCAACAUAAUUUGAAUCACUGCGAACUGUUAAUCGUGUGCCCCACAUUUCGUGCAGCAUGUCUAGAGCUAAAUUUGCUUGAAAACGAUACUCAUUGGGACACGACAAUCGCUGAAGCAAUUAUUUGCUAUCAUCAUUUCAACAUGCUUCCCAUCGAACCCACUUGACCUGUGGAACAAAUACAAAGAUACCAUGUCCGAAGAUAUUUUACAUCGAAUUCGCGUCAGCUCAAGAAAUUACGAUCUUGAGGUGAAUGAGGAGAUCCAUAACCAGACUUAGCUCUUGAUCGAAGAUAUGUGUUACCUCAUGUGCGGCAGUUUGUUAGUUAGGUUAGGUUAGUUAGGAAUGCCAGCACCAGAUCGCGGAAUGAAUGACGCAUUUAAUAGAGAAUUGGAACGUGAACAUGAAUAUGAUCCACAUGAACUAAUCUAAUCAGUUCAAACGAAUGUACCUCUGUUGAAUCCUAAGCAGAGGGAAGUCUAUGAUACACUGAUUAAUGCAAUUGAUGAUGGAAAUGGCGGCUUAUUUUUUUUGGAUGCCCCCGGUGGACCUGGGACCUGGGGACCUGGGGUCAUUGAUUUUGGCCACUGUACGUGAGAGAUACGAAAUUGCGGUAGCAAUUGCUUUUUCUUGAAUAUCGGCCACAUUGUUAGACGGAUGCCGUACGGCUCACUCAGCGUUAAAAUUGCCAUUAAACCUUCAAACUACUGAACAACCGACAUGUAACAUUUCGAAAAACUCCGCAAUGACCAAAGUUUUAGUAGCAUCAAAAAUCAUCAUAUGGGACGAAUGCACAAUGGCGCACAAACGCGCAUUGGAAGCACUAGACCGAACACUAAAAGAUCUGCGCAAUGACUCAAGAUGUUUUGGUGGUGCAAUGAUUUUAUUAUCUGGCGAUUUCCGACAAACACUACCAGUCAUUCCAAGAUCUACUGCUGCAGACGAAAUAAACGCUUGCCUCAAAGCAUCAAAUCUGUGGCGAUAUGUAAAGAAACUUCAACUGUCUGUAAAUAUGAGAGUUGCAUUGUUGAACGAUCUGCUGAUGAUUUCUCGAACCAAUUGCUGACUAUCAGUAAUGGCCGCGUUCCUGUUUCCUCCAAAUUUUUGCAAUUUCGUAUCAUCAAAAGACGAGCUUAUCAUUCCCGGAUAUCAUUGCUAACCACAAAAAUACAAAAUGGUUAAGUGAGCGAGCAAUUUUGGCCGCUAAAAAUAAAAAUGUAGAUGACCU
Molecule: long non-coding RNA, 1551 nt
Filed under: Drosophila guanche
Lineage: Eukaryota; Metazoa; Arthropoda; Insecta; Diptera; Drosophilidae
Source: RNAcentral